CCUACGGGAGGCAGCAGUAAGGAAUAUUGGUCAAUGGAGGCAACUCUGAACCAGCCAUGCCGCGUGCAGGAUGAAGGCCCUAUGGGUCGUAAACUGCUUUUACACAAGAGAAAACCCGAGUACGUGUACUCGGUUGAUAGUAUUGUGAGAAUAAGCAUCGGCUAACUUCGUGCCAGCAGCCGCGGUAAGACGAAGGAUGCAAGCGUUAUCCGGAUUCAUUGGGUUUAAAGGGUGCGUAGGCGGACCUGUAAGUCAGUGGUGAAAUCUCUUUGCUUAACAAAGAAACUGCCAUUGAUACUGCAAGUCUAGAGUAUAGAUGACGUUGGCGGAAUAUGACAUGUAGUGGUGAAAUACUUAGAUAUGUCAUAGAACACCGAUUGCGAAGGCAGCUAACGAAACUAUAACUGACGCUGAGGCACGAAAGUGCGGGGAUCAAACAGGAUUAGAUACCCUGGUAGUCCGCACCGUAAACGAUGAUUACUCGUUGUUGGCAAUAUGACCGUCAGCGACCAAGCGAAAGCGAUAAGUAAUCACCUGGGGAGUACGCCGGCAACGGUGAAACUUAAAGGAAAUUGACGUCUGAGACGAGCGAGACGACGACGAGGGAGGAGG
Molecule: ribosomal RNA, 612 nt
Filed under: uncultured bacterium
Lineage: Bacteria
Description: bacterial SSU rRNA
Rfam family: Bacterial small subunit ribosomal RNA
Source: RNAcentral